This 76-nucleotide transfer RNA is filed under the name Curtobacterium sp. MCLR17_054. RNAcentral's name for it is "tRNA-Thr". It matches the Rfam family "tRNA". From Rfam's summary of the family: Transfer RNA (tRNA) molecules are approximately 80 nucleotides in length. Their secondary structure includes four short double-helical elements and three loops (D, anti-codon, and T loops). The record is from RNAcentral. Lineage: Bacteria; Bacillati; Actinomycetota; Actinomycetes; Micrococcales; Microbacteriaceae.
GCCGGUAUGGCGCAAUUGGGAGCGCACCGGACUUGUAAUGCGGGGGUUGCGGGUUCAAGUCCCGCUACCGGCCCCA